RNAcentral lists this ribosomal RNA (430 nucleotides) under Mycobacteriaceae bacterium Ellin7036. Its description in RNAcentral is "bacterial SSU rRNA". It matches the Rfam family "Bacterial small subunit ribosomal RNA", at positions 28 to 475 of the family's 1533-position model. Lineage: Bacteria; Bacillati; Actinomycetota; Actinomycetes; Mycobacteriales; Mycobacteriaceae. The record is from RNAcentral.
GACGAACGCUGGCGGCGUGCUUAACACAUGCAAGUCGAACGGAAAGGCCCUUCGGGGUACUCGAGUGGCGAACGGGUGAGUAACACGUGGGUGAUCUGCCCUGCACUUUGGGAUAAGCCUGGGAAACUGGGUCUAAUACCGAAUAUGACCGCGCACUUCCUGGUGUGUGGUGGAAAGCUUUUGCGGUGUGGGAUGGGCCCGCGGCCUAUCAGCUUGUUGGUGGGGUAAUGGCCUACCAAGGCGACGACGGGUAGCCGGCCUGAGAGGGUGACCGGCCACACUGGGACUGAGAUACGGCCCAGACUCCUACGGGAGGCAGCAGUGGGGAAUAUUGCACAAUGGGCGCAAGCCUGAUGCAGCGACGCCGCGUGAGGGAUGACGGCCUUCGGGUUGUAAACCUCUUUCAAUAGGGACGAAGCGCAAGUGACGG